RNAcentral lists this ribosomal RNA (434 nucleotides) under uncultured bacterium. RNAcentral's name for it is "bacterial SSU rRNA". It matches the Rfam family "Bacterial small subunit ribosomal RNA", at positions 29 to 507 of the family's 1533-position model. The record is from RNAcentral.
AACGAACGCUGGCGGCAUGCCUAACACAUGCAAGUCGAACGAAGUCUUCGGACUUAGUGGCGCACGGGUGCGUAACGCGUGGGAAUCUGCCCUUGGGUUCGGAAUAACAGUGAGAAAUUACUGCUAAUACCGGAUGAUGACUUCGGUCCAAAGAUUUAUCGCCCAAGGAUGAGCCCGCGUAAGAUUAGCUAAUUGGUGAGGUAAAGGCUCACCAAGGCGACGAUCUUUAGCUGGUCUGAGAGGAUGAUCAGCCACACUGGGACUGAGACACGGCCCAGACUCCUACGGGAGGCAGCAGUGGGGAAUAUUGGACAAUGGGCGAAAGCCUGAUCCAGCAAUGCCGCGUGAGUGAUGAAGGCCUUAGGGUUGUAAAGCUCUUUUUACCCGAGAUGAUAAUGACAGUAUCGGAGAAUAAGACUCCGGCUAACUCCGUG